GCCUUAUCAUUAUGCUUAUAUGUAUGUAUUUAAGAUUCGACUAAAAAAUUAAUUAAAAAUAAACAUUAUCUUCUUAAACACCGAAACAAUCUUUUCGAAACAUUUAUAUAAUCUGUUUGCAAAUUUUUAUAUACAAACCACGCACGAUCGGCCAUCCCGUGACAAAGUUUAUUGUAUCGAACAAGCAAAUUAUUGUUUUAAGUCUCUAAGUAUCUUCUUGUCGAUUCUAUCGAUAACAUUUUUUUAAACAAUUUAGAUACAAAGAUCAUUUUUAAUAACAAAUGUAAAAGUGGGCCUUAUUUUGUGCUAGGCUAUAUUUGAUUCAGGUAUUUCAUUGGAAAUAUUGUUUUUUAAUGUUUCUAUCACGUUGCUUUGAGCAAUAAAGGCACAGCCAUGCUGUUUUCUACUGUGUUCAAUAACCCUCUGUGCGUGCACCAAUUUAUUAGAGCUUGGAUCAGUCAACUGCCGUACGCAUACGUUAACAAAUUCAUUACGCUUUUGAGAACACAUACGCGCGCGAAUACAGAAAUCACUAUGAUUUUAUUGGAACGUUAUGGCGCUGUGAAGUCGAUAAUUGAAAGUUGCACCGUGACCGUUAUCGAUUGUUUCUAACUUGUUGGAUAUAACAUUGCAAUUUACGUUCUAGGGAUACGGAGAAAUAUAUUCUCAGUAAGUAAGUAUUAACACAAGUAUUAAUUAAUAAUAUAAAGGACAUUAGCCUGCGAAGUAAUACGCGGUUUCUCCUCAUUUCAUGUUAUCAAGUUGUCGAGUUUAUAUUGCCCAAAGUCUUCUCGACUUAACGUUCAUCCCUUGACACUAGUGCAAAUGGGAUUGUGGAAUUAAAGAUUAGCAGGGAGGAUAGUAGAGAUAUCCCGUUAAGGAACAUUUCGAGGAUUCUCGUCUCGAUAAGCCCCGCGCCGAUCUUCGGGCUUCUUAGAGGCGUCCUGGAAUUAUUUAGUGAUGCGUAAGCCGUUCCGGGCUUGCCUCCAGACCGAGGUUAAUGGCUUCGAUUCCCAGAAGUGCGUCCGCCAAACCCUCUAAGUUAAGGAUAGCUCAUCGGCUCCUAACUGCAAGUAUACAAUUACUAAAAUAGUCAAACCAACUGAUAUAUUGUACGCGUACGAUUGUAGCGUAAUACAGUUCUAUCUCGCUGCUUCGUCAUUUAAAGUAAAGGAAAUCGUUAUCUAUGCGAAAAAAAAUCUUGACGAGGAAAAAAAUAGUAUAUAAUGCACUCUUCGGAAAAGCAUGGGAGUUUUAUAUGCCGUCAUGAUGACGGGUAGCUGUUUGAUCAGCGAGCAGAUAUGUAUCGGUAAAGAAUAACGACUCGACAUGCAUUAUGUUGUACACAGGGAUAUAUAAUACCGGGAAUGACUGCGCAGGAUAUGAAACUUUCUGAUAAUACAAUCUUGUACUGCACUGGAUUUACUUUCCGGCUCGAAAUCUGACAGUCAAGAGCGCAAAAUUUUCGAUAUCGAAAGAAAGAGAACAGGGAGCGGCUGUAGGAGGUUGUGCAAAGAGGGGAAAAAAGGCUGUAGAGGAAUCGACAGAAGCUCGAGCUGUAUUACGUUUAUUUAUUGAUCGUAUUUGCCUUCCAGCCAACUGAAUCCUGGAAGAAUUAAUCCCGCUUUGCUCGGCCGAAGUACAGCAUAUUCGCGAUGCGACGAAAUAAACUGCUACUCAUAUUCCGUACUGUAUUCCAGUGGAACUGUUAUUUCGAGAUAAAAUAGAACAAUGUGAAUUGGUAAAACUCUGUAAAGCCUGGAUGAAUUGCAGUUACAUUUCAUCGUUAUAACGAACGAAUGUUCUUUCAUCGCUAAUGUUUAUUUGUUAAAUAUAAGAGGAUUUCAUCACUGAAUAUAUUUAUAGUUUGACGGAAACAAUUCCUUAUUUUGUAUGAAAACUUGGCGGACGCACUCAACGCGGACAAAAUAUCAUACGUCACAAGUGUUGCACUUAGUCUGAUUAAAUCUUUCCGAGGUUAAACGAGAAGGGCUUCAUGAACGAGCAUAUCUUAUUCUCUUGGCAGUUUCGUUCUGAGGUGAACUCAAUGAAAGCUAGCGGAUGCAGCGGAGAAGCCACGGCGGACCCCGCGGAAAUAGGAAGACGCUCGACCAAAAGAUGGCAGAGAAGGACGGAAGUGGUUGGAAGAGGCAUUAUAUUAUGUGCCAUGGGGCUAAAUUGAAUUCUCGCGCCGCUGCUUUCCGGAAAUAAUAUUAUGUUUUAUGUCCCCGACACCCGCGCGAAGCCCUAUUGGAAUCCCUUAAUAGGAAUUUUUCACAUUUUCCGCCAGCUCCCAACGAAUAAGAUCAGCUAGAGGUGGCAGCAUCCAUUGGCACAGAUUCCGAUCUGCCGGGGAUUGAAAAUGGCGGAGGCGAGCCGAGGAACACCACACUGCGGCUUUCCUCCCGUUCAAAACCUUCUGGUUGAAGCGUACGCGCACGAAUGCGGCAAUGGUGGUGGUGACGAUGCGAUGGGCUUCGCCGGAGUUUUACCCCUGUUUGCUUUUGCUAUUCGCUUUCCUGCCACAGUGGGCGCGAGGAAAAAUUCCAGCAUUGCUGCCUGGUACCGCCAACGCCAGCGAACUACCACCGAUAUCAACGGUCUAGAGUUGCCAUCAUCUUCCGCCGAUAGAAAGUUCUGGUUUCUUCAGCUUUCGGGAUAGCGUGGCGCACGCGACGCUUGAUAACUUUUAAAAGAACGACGCUAAUCGAAGCGAACACCUGCGCCGUAAUAUUUUACAUUUAACUCGACUCCUAAGACAAGACUUGGCAGUUUCAAAUUAUCACUCUAUUUCUUUCCGUAGUAGAUUUAUUUAAUGGAGACGUAUCAAAAAUUCCGAACGAUUGAUUGAAACGAAUAAUCCGAUGAAGGAUAAAAGGAGAACUUGAAAGAGCUAUGGAACCAGAAUCGCGUUAAAGUAACUUACUGAAAAACGUUCGAAUUAAUGACUGAUCCCUUGUGGUCUUUUUUUUUUUUUUACCAUUUUCUCUUCCCUUUGAAUGUGGAGAGUUCGUUCGUUUCAGCGGUGAUACAAUUCAUUCGCGGUUUUCUCGAAAAGUGGUCGGCAACCGACGGAUCUAUUUGUUUGAGAUGUAUGUACAUCGCAUAUGCUAUUUUCAGUUAAAUCGCGUGUACUCAGCGAUCUCGCGGUUAAACGCGCCACGUUUCUAUCGCAAACAAAUGCGCACGUAAUAAAGUUGGCAAACGUUUUUCCUACCUCCAGGUUGUAUCGAGAGAUACGACCUUUUUUUUAAUUGCAACAUGAAUUUUUAAAUCGGGCAGCAACUUUAAAUAUUCAUGUCUCGUCCCGGAACGGCAAUCCAUUUCACGGAACGCAAACUGCCGGUUAUUUCUCCUCGUUAUUGCGUACGCGCGGCAUUCACGUGAUGGCAUAAGCGUUGAUUUACAGAUAAUUUAUUGACGCUCGCUCUGUCGGCUCUCACAUAUAUUUAGCAUAAAUAAAUUCGUUAUGCGACUUGCUUUUUCAUGUGCCCCCUAACGGAGAUAAACGAUUUUCAUGCCCAUUUCUCUUCAAAACGACUAAAACGAUAUCGUAUCGCGACACUAACUUAAGACUGUAGCACAAUUCUUAAUUACGCGCCGUAAAAUUCCGGCGUAAUGAUAAACCUGUAUUAAGACUGCCGGGGGAGGGAAGAAUAUUUCAGAGUUAAAAACAUUUUUUGCGACGGACUCUUUUCAGAAACGUACGAAACCUAUCUGUAACCUGGUUCAAGACAGUUUUAUCGUCGUCGCGAGAUAUACUGUACGAGUCGCGCGCGCAGGUCUCGGAAUCGAUUUACCGCGCUCAUGCUUUACACGCGAACAGUUUAGUUUCGCGGUGUACAAUGGAUUUUUGGAGCUGCUCGUACAACGCUCGAUUUUUUUUGAAAAUUACGACCGUGUCGCCUCUUUGUACGCCGACUCCACUUUUCUCGUUCGAAUUUCGUUUAACGAUAACUCGCAAAAAAAAAAAAAAAACGCAUUAGCAUAAACGCAUUCAGACGGAAUGCAGAUACAGGUGCCAGGCUCCUUUUCCUUUGAAUGGAAAAGGAAAUUCAAGGUAUUCAAAUGUAUUCCGAAGAAGUGUAUCUUUGGUGCGAAACAGCUCGUAGUUUUACGAGUUUACCUACGCCGACGAACGUUUAAUGUCCGCCACUUUCUACCAGCAAAUAACAUAAUAACAAACCAAAGAGAGAGAGAGAGAGAGAGAGAAAGACGUGGAAUAACGUUAUUACCAUAACAGCUGAUUCGAUCUUGAGUCUUAUGAAUCACGUAUUUUAUGAGCUGAGUAUAUUUCCCAUCUAAUAAAGCAUCGAUAUCUUGUUGCGAGAGAUACGAGCUUAAGUCGAACGACGCGAUAGCGAGAUUCGACUGGUUUUACCUCGUAAAAGUUCCAUUCGCGCGGAACCUCGUGAUUGCGUGCUAAGGCUCCGUAAAAGGUGCGCUCGUUGUCGUGGGACUUAUCGAACUAUCGACUCGCUUCCAAAGUAUUCGCCCUCGCUUUCAUUGGCCCAGAUAAAAAAGCUCGAAGCUUAUUUGUCGGUGAGUCGUUUCCUUCCGAAAGCGCGGCAUUUAUCGCGCCGAGAUAUAUGGAAAUUGCGCGGAAAGAUAACGAUUCUCUUUGCUUUCCUUGGCGUUGGCCCCUAACGAGCCGGCGCGCGCGGCGCGUCUUCGAGAGAUCGUAGAUAUCGCGACGUAUCUGGCGGAUUAAUGAGGAUUCCGCGACGUAUAUAGGCCAGGCGGCUUAUUUUCGUUUCGAUUCUAACUAUACUGCAACUGCACCUACGAUCCCGUCCGUCUCUCGUGGUCGGCGAGUUCUUGGGCGCGCGCUCGAGCGGGUUCGAGAGUGACGAAUACACAAAUUUUCCUCGUUUAGAAUAAUUUAUCGCGCUUGCCUCCUCUCGUCUCGAUUGCGACCUGUUAGACCGAGUGCGAUUCAAUGAAAACAGCCGCGUUUUCUCUCGUUGAGUUUAUUUACACAUCAUUCAGUAUAACUUUCAGCAGGCGUUUAUACGAUCAAAUGAGAGUAUUGCUGCGAUUUGUGCAGUCGCUUCGAUUGCCUCAAUGGUGAGAGACAUUUUUAUUGCGCUCCGCUGAUAGCUGGAAGUAAAAUGUUCAUUAAGCAGAAUCAAUAUUGCCAUCCGUAUAUACAAAAUAGGCGUACGUGAAAUUUUAUUCGGCGCGAACUGCCGCCUGUUUCGAUAUUCCGUGUAGUAAAUAGCAUUUCCGAUAUCGGUGAAAAAUAACACGUUUUGUAUACACAUUCACGCUUUUAACGCUUUCACGAUAAAAUGCAGAGGCGCAUACUUCUUAUAAUUUUCAUCCCUAAUUUUCUUGUUGCAUCAAAAUGUCUCGUGCACGUGAUGUUUCUCCAAAACACGUUAGAAUUUAUCGAUAAUUUCCAGCAGCUCUGAGCUAUUAAAAUUUUUAUCACGCGCCGAACAAUAAAUAGAAAAUAUAUUACGUAGUAUUUACGUUUAUGCAUAUAUUUCAAUUCUUAAUUAAGAAAAAAUAAUAUAUGCACAUUGUAUUUGCAUUUAUCAUGUCACAACAACAAAGUUUCCGUAUUUAAAAGAAAGAGAAAAAUUACUAUUUGCAUAAUAUGAUACAAAAUGAAUAGUUUUAAUAAUAAGUAUAUGUGCGGCACAAAAAAUAUGGUAAAUAUUGAAGAAUGGCAAUAUCCUUUGUCGCUCAGAAAUUCCGAAGAUCCUUAACUCGUAGAUUCCGAUCGUGAGGAAAACACUCGCUUCUUCCGAAUUAAUUUAUCUCGAUGCUACCGUACAUUUCACUGGCUCUCCUCCGCUUCUCGAUUCAUUACAUCUCCGAUUGCGACGUUCUACUUCCUUUUUCAUCGUUUAACGACACUUAAAGUUCGUAACUCUUCAGCAGCUUCGAUUCGCCGAGUAACGACUUGGUAAUUUCUGCGCGACAUUAUCGCUUACGUCGCUGGAUUCAUAAAACUUUAGCGUGCGCGACGAACGCGUCAAAUAACAGCGUGAAAAUGAACUAAGCCCCGCGAUCGCGUUGCAAGCGUGAAAGUAACGAGAAGCUGUGCAAUAUUGUAUGAAACUGGGUCGCCAUCGACUGCGUUUCGUAGUGCGCUGCCUUCGUGAAACAAAAUCAAACAAGGGGAAAAAUUUCGCUUAAAAAUUGCAGAUAUUGUUACAUAGUGACACAGUAUAAAUUACAACUCAAGAUUUUUACGUAAAAAAAACUUGGGUAAACGUUAACCGAACGUCUACUUGCAAUUGUAUAUUUUUACAUCGUAAAAAUGGAAAAAAGAUAAGUCUGUGAUAAUGGUUACCAGAUCUGAGGACGUCGAUCAUUAAAAAAAAUUGAUUAUUCUUAUUAUUUGUACUUAUAUAUAAAAUAAUGUACACACCGAACUCAAAGUUAUAAUCUAUCCUACUCGUUAUUGUACGUCGAUGUCACGUAAGAUAUCCUGAUCGUCACGGAUAUCGACAAAUGUCACCCACGUUCUGCAGAAUGUCGCUGCCGAUAUCGGCGCGUUGAAUGGCAGGCAGGUUGCAUCGUGGAAACAACAAAGCCGAAUAUCGAUUAAACAGUGCAGCGCGUUCUCUGCGUGCAAGUAAUUAGUAGAUGCACGGAGAGUUUUAAUGACCCUUUAAUAACACGCAACAUCAAAUUAUAAAGGUAGGUCGUAGACCCGUCGCCUAACGUACCCCGCGCAAUCCCGACCGACGACGUUCCUCCACGGCAAAAACAUGUGGCGGUCGAUUAACAAAAUAAUUUCUAUUCCUUCCUCCCUUUGUUUCCCUCGUCAAAUUCGUAAUUGUUAAAGAAACGUACGUAUUAUUAACGUCGCAGAUCACAAAUUGUGUCACGCGGAUGCCCGGCGAAAUUACAACGGCGCGGAGCAAUAUUCGCUACGUGAUACCGACGGGUGCGCGAACAGCGUCGAAAAUUUAAUAACGUACGUGCGCGGGCUCUGAUUGCGAUUGAAUUAAUUACACGGGGAUAUUUGUUAAUCGAUUGUUUUCAAAGUCGCGCGAGUACCGGUGCUCGCCGUUACCAAUGGGCGGCACCGGUUGCGAGAAUUACGCGCAUUAAGCGCAAGCUUACGCUUUAAUUUAGCUGCGCUGCUGUUGCUGCCGCUGCCGCUGCUUUGACUCGAUUUUCUCGUUCCUUAAUCGCGUUACAGUUUUAUAUUACUUGACGUUAUCGUCCUAUUCAGCGCGAGAAUGAAAACGGAUUAAUUAUUCGAUCCGGGUGUACGCGCUGUUAAACUUUUUUUACGAAAAAGAAUGCCGAGAUCGUUGGCAUGCGCGCAUUGCAAUUGCGCUCGCACAAAAGUUCGACACUUUCCAAAUCGAUACUUCGCCCCGGCUGUGUGCGGGCAUCCUCCCGGCAAUAGUAACGGGGUCAAAGCGAUUCCGGAACCGCUUGGAAAUCGACUGCAACCGCAUGGAUCCGGGUUACCGCCGCUCGUUCUCAGAUAUUGGAAGUUUCACGGUGGUCGUUACACCACACGGAAUUAAUUGGUUUAAUUAAGUCACCGAAUUGCUCCCGCUCACGGAUUCACGCCGGAUUAAUGCGUGAUCAGAUACGGCGCACCUGUUUGCCGUCGGGACGCAGGAAUAUAUUCGAAUUGCCAUCGAUAUACACGGAUCGGCAGCCACAUCGAUUACGAGCCGGCGAUUUAUUUGAGCGAUCGAGCGCCAUUCUAUUUGCGGAGAACGGGUAUUCUAUUGCCGGCCCGUCGCGUCGCGUCGCUCGCGCCGUUGCGUUGUUGCGUUCAACGCCGAAAUGGAUCUCGAUUUUGCGGACGGAGCGCCGUGUAAGAGCCACGGCGGUUUUAUUAAUGCGCGUUAAUCGCGUUGACGAAUGACACGGAAACCCUUUCCUCUACGGUGACAACGCGCGCUUCUUCGGAGCAACGCGCAUAUUGAACGUGCCCGAAAUUAUCGCACGUCGCUCCUGGAAAGACGUAAUUGUAAAGAAUGACCUCGUUUUUCAUUAAACUGCCCAUUAGCCGUUCCUGCCCGGCGGGCAACAUUAAAACCUUGAGCGAAAGGGUAAAAGGGUUCCUGAAAAACGCCCGCGGGGACCCUUUCUCUUGUCCGAUGGAGAGAGAGAGAGAGAGAGAGGGGACUCGUACGCUUUCGCAAGGAUGUGGCAAUUAUUCACGACGCAAAGGCCACCGCCAUGUAACCGCUUAAUUGUCGUUUUUAUAUAUCCACCGGGUGACUAAUACCAUGCAAAUCGAUAUCACGGACGUUGUGUGUAUUUUCCCUUGCCAGGGAACACAGUCUUUAGUUACUCCGGCUAUGUAUCGCACAGUCAGCCGAGAAUAUCUCGCUGGUACCUUCGGCGAAUAUUAAUUCACGAGCGUCAAGGGGCCAGCCUAUCUUAGAUAAAGUUAUCGUACGAAGUAACUAAAUAAUUACCGUAACGUUAUUAACGGUCGUGUGUGGCGGCACGUUAAUUAUAUGUUUGCGAGAAGGGCACGUCUGCAACGGAAACGAAUGAAAUAAGAAUUUUCUUUUUGCUGCGAGCGCUUUAUUCGUUAACAGAAAUAUUUUUGCUCGUUGAUAGAUUUAAUAUACGUUUUGUGAAGAAAAGUAUCACGUUUUCGUAUUGGAAGCGGUCUCGUCUCGGCUGACAGACAUGUCGGUGCUCGCGGUGACGCUUUACUUGCGGGAAUCGUCAACUCUGGGGUUUGCACGUCUGCAUUUUACAGUUUUGACGCGUGAUUCCGUCUUCUCGCGGAUAGGGCAGGUAGGGGAGCGAAGGCGCGGGAUAUAAGCGAGACAGCGGGAAAAAGGAAAGAAAUGGAAAAGGAAAAAAAAAGGGGAUAGAGGACGGCCCAGGCGGCGGGAGACCGAGAAGAAAAGACACGAGGAAGAAGCGUCCCGGGAAAUAAGAUUCUGACUUUACUUCUUGACGUAUCCGUCUUUCCAUGGCGGAUCUUCCAGGAUGCUGGAGUAGCAGGUAGAGCGUAGGGGUAGGGGAGAUGAAAAAGGAGCGACUGCUGGAAAUAUCUUACGGACGGUUGAUGCGAUACAUUGUCUUUGCUUAUCUCUUGCGGUGUACGGGUGCGCGCGCGCGCGUGCACAGGGAUGCACACAUACACAAUCACCGCCGGCUGGGAAUCAACAUAUGCAUUACGUGCUUGAAGAGUUCUCCAGGAGUGUACGAUACACGUCGAUGUUAUGUAUGCGGUAUGUCCUCGAGCUAGAUGUGCUCUCGCGAUGCAGGCGGCCGAUCGAUCAUACGAAUCAGAUGCGAAGCGCGAGAAUCGACACUGCUGUAAUUAAUAACGUACAGCAACAGUGGACAGUGACCGAUUGCUCAAUAGGAACAUUUUCAUCUCUUGAUAUACGUCCAUUAGAUUUAGCACGAUAUUUGCAAGAUAAAUUACCUGGCGGCGUCGUGCUGCUUAAAAAUUAUCGUAAUGACGAUUAAAAAUUAAGACAGAAUUUAUAUAUACGUGGUAUAUAUAUAUGUAAACGUUGUAAAUCCCGGGAUUAAACAAUACGACACGUUUACGAGAGCAUUUCUUUUGAAAGUACAAGUUAAAGAUUUAUUAAAUCCGAAACGCAGGGGCUGGUAAAAAAGUCCCUCGAAAUCGCGAGGGUUAUCGAAUUUCGAUCACGUUCCUCUACCACGUACUUUCUGUGGACUCGUGCGAAUUGUCGUGUUCUAGAACCGGGAAGCCUCGCGCGUGCGGUACCGCGUCCGCAAAUUUAAUUCUUCCGCUGUAUGUGUGCCGCCGGGCCGGGAAUUUCAGCGCGAGGCACAGAGACGAGUUGCGCGCUCGUGAAUGUGAGAAAAAAGAAGAUGCAACCGACUAAUCAAACAGAAAAUGCGACGAAUAGGCGGACAUAGCAAGGCUCUCGUAAUUACGAGGAACUCUCGUUCACCGCGCGCGGUUCUCCAAUCAACGGGCGUUAAUUAAUCGAGCCAUCCGCCAGGUGACCUGCGAAAGAUGGGCGUAUCCUUUGUCAUCCCGCCGCAACGUUCCUCGCGUUCCAACAUGGAACGCGCACCUACCCUAUGCACCUACUGGAGGUUAACCGGAGUUGAUGUAUUGAAAAUAACCCUCGUCCGCUAUCUGGACAGCUUAUCAUAUCCAUCAUUCCGCCCUAUUUGUACGGUGUACACGCCUCGACCUUGCGCAUGGAUCCGAAAAUCGCCCGAGCAAGAUUGCGAGUCGCCUGCUCCUUUUUUACGUGCAUCUCAGGUUGAGACAAUAUUGCUUCUUAAGCCCAACGUGAUUGAUUCCCCGAUUCAGUAAAUCUUUAAUUACUAAAAAUGCUAAAAUACAUAAAAUACCAAACUUUCGGAAAAUAUUAAGAGAAUCUUAAGACAUAUAUACAUUUAAAGUUAAUUCAGAAAACGAUUAUUUUAAGAGUAAUGUUAAAAUAACAUAGUCUUGAAACUAUCAGUAAGUUAUUUUAGGAUUAAAUUUAAGUCAAGCCUCACGUGCAAACGCGAGCGCACGUGAUAAAUGUGUAUAGCCGAGGGAGUGCGAUUACGGGAAGCUCCGUAAAUAAUAACGACGCUUUUUAAUUAAAUCAACGAAGAAAAACAUCUGCGGUAGCAUAACUUUGAAAAAUACGCUUGCUGGAUUGAUAUGACGCUUAUGUAAACUUUAAUGGUUUUAAACCAUUUUAAAAGCAAGUUUGUGUUGCUUGUAUUUAGAUUAUACACCAAAAAUGUUUAAAUUGUUUCAAUAAAAGAAAUUGAAACAAAUAUAAAAGAAAAAUACGCGCAGAAUUAAAAAAUUUCGAAAAGAAUCAAUAUCGCUCGUCGCAAUUUGUGGAUGUUAAUAUCUUGAGGAGUAAUUUUUAAAAGCUUAAGCGACCGUGUGAUUUUACGCUUAUUCACCCGUGAAAGUUGAAGAGCCGCAUAUGUUCGCUUAUAAAUAUUAACAAGAACAUCUCAUUAUUUCAGAUUUUGAGCCCAUAAGCCUUAUUUACGGGCGACGCUCCUUUCCCAGUUUUAAGCGUAGAAAUUCUGAUAUCGCGGCCUCGCAUAUCGCGACGGGACCCUUCGAAGGGACGCCUUUGUUUCGCUAUCAAUUCAGGGUUAUAAAUUUAACACACAAUUUUAUCCUGCACGGCGGUGUAUUUCGAUUUACUUGCGCAUCUGCGCCGCGGCCAUGGGCAUCUUUUCAUAAUUUUCUUACGCGGUAUAUUUCACGACAUAAUCCCGGGGUAAUGUAAUUCAUUUACCCGGAAUGCACCCGCUUACUCGGCAAAUGAAUUGCAGCAACGCUCAUUACGCUUCGCGGGCGAAUUAAAUCGGAAUGCGGAAAGAUCCUCGGUUGUUUCCUCGCGAUACGAAAACAUCUCGCGAUUUGCUGAUAGACCUGUCGACUCCCUUCUUUUUUUUUCAAUUUUAAAUUACGCAAAAUACGCAAAUAUGAUAUGAUCACAGCAAUUUGUUUAUUGCAAAUUUAUUGAUAAUUUUAUUAAACAACCGUGCAUGCAUAAUUCAAGUAACGUGAAAAAUAUUGAUUUAUUAUAAAUUCAACUUGUUAUCAAAUAUUCAGAAAAAUUACCAGAAUGCACUGUGUAAGCGCAGAUAUGCUGUAAUCGACAGGAUCUCGAAAGCCAACGUGCAAAGCUAUUACCUGCGGCUGAUGGCUUUCACCGUUGCUUUUAAGCCGGAAAAGGUUUUUGCAUGUUUAAAAUAAAUAAACAAAUGCGAUAGGACAUAAAUGCAAAGUGCGUGAGAGCGUUUUGUCAUAUGUACAUGUCGUUGUGGAUAGACGGGGCAUUUUCACCGUUUCAUCGUUUUAUUCGUUAAGCAUAAAUAUUUCCGGCAGCGGAUAUUUUAUAAAUAAACGUACAUUAUUAAUAUAAUUAAUUAAAAUGAAAUGAAAUAUUCACCUACCGAGGAUAAUUUGCAAGAGAUAAAAUGUUUCAGAAAUAUUUUGUUUCUGAGAUAACUAUUUAUCAUUUCAUUUCAGCAAAACACUAAUAAAUCACGCAAUUCAUACACAUCGUUUAUAAUUAUACAACAAUUUUGUAUCUCGUAAGAUAAAUUCACGUAAUUUAUUUUACGUGGCCAUUUAUUCGAUUGAGAAUUUUAUAAAGGCUCAUCGCGCCAAGAACUCUAUCAGACGCGCAUUCGGAAAUCUCGCUCGAAACAACAAAUAUUUUCAAUAAGAAAACCAGCGCGAGUUUCGCGCACGAAUAAGUAAUACAAGUCCGGAAAUGGAAUUUGAAUAGAAACAUUCAACCGGAACGAACUUUACCGCGAGCUCGUUCCGGCCACUCGAUAAAAGCUCAGGUAUAUUUCGACGGUGCAGUAGUCGAGAGACUUCGUAGCUUUUAAGCUCGCACCGAGAACGUGGAAGCACUCUUUCUCUCUUCCUCCUUCCCCUUUUAAUCUAUCUUCUUCCCUUUUGCGCUACAGAUUAUCCUACAUAAUAAUUUCUAAGCCGUGGGUAGUCCGCCUACGCUUUACCUCGCAUUAUUUCUCGUCGCUCACCUUGGAAUUAAGACGGAAAAUAUAACGAGAUGAAGCGGCGCGCGGCGCGGCGGCGCGGCCGUUCGUGCACAACAGCUGAGGAACAGCGACGUACAGAUAAUCUAAACGCGGAGCGAUGGAGUGGUGGCAGCCUGGGCUACACCAGUUGUCAGCCCGUGAUGGAUGGACGCGGGGCACGUACCGGCGAGAAUUCGUCUUCCUUCUUUUUCAUUUCGUGAACUCCGCCUUAUUUUCCGUCGCGCAUUUUCCGCCGGCGCGCGGCGUCCGCUCGAUACUACGGCCAAUAUUCCUUUCCCGGUUUCCACGACUCGGCGGAAGAUCGGGAUACCGCCUUCCGAGAAAGGGCCAUUUUCGCGAUGCCGGCGUAUAUAUCCAAGGGGGAAUCAUUCCGUUGUUUGAACUGUGAAAUAACUCUCCACGUAUUCUUUGCAUGUAGAUCCGGUGAUCAAGGCCGACCGUGCGAUUUGUCGGCACGUUCCUUUUGAUUAGAAGGUAACACGUCCCUUGGAAUUCUGAUACUUGCUACUGGACGUGCCGGAACUGCGCGGAUUACAUUCGAGACGUUCUCUUGCAGAGUUGUCACAGGACGUACACGUUUCCGCACCCUUCAAGGCAAGCGGCAUCUUCACGCCCCAAUUCUUUCGUCCUCCGGGAUUGGAGGCGAACGAAACGACAGGCAGAAAGAGAGAUUAAAACUUAUUUCCGUGGCAAAAAAACGUCUGGCACUUUUAUGAUGAUGUAAUAUAUACAUUUUCUCCCCUCUUAAUAAUUCAAUUAGAAUAAUAUGAAAUUCUUUUCAGCUUGUUAUUCUUACAUAACAAAAAAAAAAAAAUACGCGCGUUCAUUAUCACUUAUACAUAUAACGCAAUUUAUUCUUUUAUAAAACGCUGCUGCAUAUGCAGUUCUCAUAAUCUAGGGAUGUAAUAUUUAAAAUGCGCAACUCUGAUUAAAGUUGUCGGAUAGACGCGAGUGUCUUCCUUUUUAAAAUUUGCGCGAUUUCUCUAGAAGGCGAGUAAUGAAGAGUUUGCGAUGGUAUAUUCAUGCCACGUACAUGACGAGGAAGAAAGAAAUUCUACCUUCCGCGCGAUUCUUCACUCGCUACUUACGUUUUAUUCCACUCAUCAGCUUUCCCACCCUCCGCGGUACGUGCACGUUCUAAUUCUCACGUUCCCGACGGUACAGACAGAAAAAGGAAAAUAUCCCGUGUGAGAGAUGUGUAAUCCGUUUUUUUUUGCGCUCGGAGGAUAAAAUAAAAAAUAUAAUGCGUUGAUGAAUUUGAGAAAAUUAGCUUUACGGGCUAGCAGUUGUGGAUUGUAACAUACCACGUGGCUUUAAGAAAUUACACGAAUCCUACACGCCUUUAUUUUACGUUUCAUAUAUUUCGCUUUUGCUGACAUUUUGUAGACGACAUAAAUGCCAUAAAUAUAUUGUAUUUUCCUCGCACAUAAACUUGAACAUUUAAUUUAAUUUAGUUAUUUAACAACUGUACCAAAAUAUAUAACUGUUUUGCUUGUAAUAAUCAUAUAUGUUAUUACAUUCGUAAGAAAAUACUAGAAACCAUAACAAUCUUAGAUCUUUCGUUUUCUUCAAGCGAGUUUUCUGUGCUCGAAUGAGUCAGACAUUUUUCUACGUAUUUAUCUUGAUCUCUUCCAUUUCCUCGACAAACAUAGCGUAAAGCUGGAUAGCUUCGAAAUUAUUCAUAAAAUAUGCAUGACAAUGGAACAAAUGUCCCGUGCGAAUUCUUCGUUCUAGUAUUACUUCGUUUCUAUUUAACUCAUCGUUUUCUGGUAUUCAAGAUAGUCAAUCUGCCAAAGUUUUAAUUCUGAUGUUCAUCGAUACCAAGCGCGAAUGAAAAGAGACUUGUAGGGAAUGUCUAAUGGCGCUUUUCUUGCACGUUUAAAAGAGUUGAAUUUUAUGUGUUCGUGCACAUGUAUUGUAUGGCAUACGUGUAUCGUAGGUAUGGCUCUCUAACGCUGGUACAAUAAAUGAGUCUUCAGUUAACCGAAAGGCAAAUCCAAACGCAAUUUAAAUGUAUCUGUAGCUUUUGCAAUUUUACUGACUUGUUCUCAAAUGUUCUUUUCUAAGUAUACAGAAAAAAAAGAAAAAAUUUAAUAAAUAUUAAUGCAAAUCUCAUUAAUUCAUCAACUAAUGUUAACCAAAGAUGUUAGUGAGUUAAUAAUAAAAUCGCAACUGUGUAAUAAAGAAAAUAAUUUUUCAUAAAGAUUAAAAAUAAAAUUGAAAUUUAUAAAAAUAUAGUUUAUAAUAAUAUAUGUGAUUUUAAAACGUGCAAAGAUAAAUUGUUGUACCACACAGGUGCGUUUUGAAACGUGUGCAUUUCAGUAUUAAAGAAUUCCUGGUGAUCGAUUUUACGUAUUUUUCAACAACGAGGAUUUUAUUCUCGCGUCAAACAUGCGGUGGAGCAUCGUGUGGAUUAUAAUCGUUCUCUGUCAAGCGUGAGGCGAAUAUUCGCACUGGCCAGUAAAAACUGGGAUAAAAAUCUGACAGGAAAUAUUCGUUUAAAAUUCGCAGCAAACUUGAUUACUCGCAUCCAUUUCGUUAAUUAGAAAGUCAAAUUUGAAUUCAUUAUUAAUUUUUUUAUCUUUUGUAUGUUAUUCUUUAUCUUAUAGAAAAAAAAUUAAUUCUACAAGGUUACGUGAUUAUUAUUGCAAUAAAUGCCUGUACAUAUUUGUAACGUUAAUAUAUAUAGUGAUAAUAAUUCUAUUUAAUUUCGACGCUACUGUAAUUUACAUUUGCAUUUCACAAAAGAGAAUAAUAAUAUUAAUCACAUUUAACACCAAAUAAUCCAUAUUUCUUGUAUACUUCACCAUUAUCAGUCGCGUUUAGUUAUUCAGCUAAUUAGGAAUACCAAUUAAAUUAUUUUAUUAAUAUAACAAGCGUUAUUACGUAGUAUAUAACAAAAGAGAGUCUGUAAAUAAAUUUUGCUUGUCAGAAAAAGAUUCUUUCGAAAAUUUGCACGCACUAAUGAGAAAAUUCGUUUACUGAAAAAAUUCAACCAAAGUACAAAUCACAAGUGCAUUGUAUAAGUAUAUUUUUUAAAUUAUGUAAACUAUGUUUAACUAACCGUGGAAUUAAUGUUCUAUGACGGCAGAGAAGCAGGUUUAAAAAUGCACCAAAAUACAUUUGCGCAUGUUCAAAAAAGCAAUAAGGAGAUCCGAGUUUUGUAAACGGAGAGAGUGAUGACUGUAUAGUCGCUAAGUAGUAUAUUCGUGAUUUUCGCCGCGUAGUAAUGAAUUUUUUUCUAAAAAGCGCUUUUGUCGCAUACAUGCAUUAUUGUAUGCGCCUAUGUGAGAAUGCGCGCGCGUGCAAAAAAAAAGAGAGGAAAUAUAAUCGGGAGAUCUCUCUCCGGACAAAAUAUAACAGGGUAGUCGCGGAGUGCAACACUAGGGGCAGUUGCACAUCGCUGAACUGACGAUCAGUAUACGUGAAUUUCGGCUGAAUCUCAUUAUUCUAUAAAAACGAAGUUAUGCCGCGCAGUUCGCAGCCUUGUCUCUUUUUUUUUUAAUGGCGCCAUUCAUUUUAAAGGCAUAAGGGGGACAAUGGUGCAAAAUGUGUGCGUGUGUGCGUGCGCCCGCGCGCGUAUGUAUGUGUGAAUCGUAUCACAGCUAUAACGAUGAGAGAAAGUAUAGAAUUUAAAUGCGGGAUUGGAAAUGUCCAAAAUUAUUUUUAUUCUACCGAAAUAAAUACCAAAUUACAACCUUUUAUAAGUAAAUGAUGCUAUUGCAUUUUAAAUUACUUGUGAGUAGUGCAUCAAAUAAAAUUUUUUUUAAAUGUUUUUAAAAGUGUCUAACGGUAAGAGUAUUAUUUUAUUUAACAUGGCUAUAAUUUGUUGAUAGAUAUCGAGACAUUAAGAACUAUGUUAAGUACAAAAAUAAUAUCAAUAUACUUUUUACUAUAAUUCAACUGUUAUUCAGUUGAUUGUUCUAAAUAACGAUAAAAAUAUUCAGCUAAAUCGACAUAUUCCCUUUCUUUUCUGGUCAAGAUCGGACAAGAAAGUAGUAGAGAGAGAAAGAGAGAGACCUAUUUACAGUACUACAUUAAAAAUAGAAAGAUCAAAGAGUGUAUGGGACGAACAGCAAGGACACUGCAGGCUUUUACUUAUUAAUGAAAGAUUCCGUUCUGACUGUUGUGCAAGACGAGUUCCGUUCUGAACCGAAUUCGAGGUGAGCGAGAAGUUGCUGAGACAGGCAAAGGAGAGAGAAAACGUGGCUGUCGCGACGACGACGAUUUCGCAGUGGAGUUGCAAUGGAGAUCGCUUCGCGGCCGAUAUAGGUAUAUCGACGACAUGUGUUUCGAUCGAAUUUCGUGCAAACAUUUCGUAUAUAGCCAGUGCGCGUCGUUUGCAGCGGCCGCGAUAUUAAAUUUUCCAUCAGAACGCGGGUCCGCGGAAUAAAACAUAAAAGUGCGCGCGCGCGCAGGAAGGUUUGUCAGAAACGUGUAUUGUUUACUGCACUACCACGCCUCCGCGAUUUCCACUGCAUUCCGUCGCAUUUUUUGCUAACACGUUCCCAUAUGUGUGUGUGUGUAUGUGUGUUUGUGUGCAUAUGCAUCACAUCCUCAGUGUUACGCGCAAGAGACAAGCGAUCCACCGAAAUUGCGAUAAUGGGACUACAAAUUUUUUUUUAUGGUCUCUGUGUGCAACGGACCGGAGGUUCUCGUGAUUUUUUGAUCGUGCAUGGGCAUUCGCGAGAGAGAAAUCUUGUAAUUCAUCGAUGCGUUUUUUUGAUGGCCGUACUACAGGUUUAUCUCGAAUAUCUCCAUGAUAUUGUUCUCGCAUGAAUUGAAUAACUUUUUCAUCGAGAGCACUGUUGCCGCAAAAGCAUUUAUAUAUUCAAAGUACUGACGAAUCAUAGUUUAAUAAAAUCAUAAGAAUCUUCUCCAAUCAUAGUUGUUUUCGUUGGAUUGCAAUAAAUAUAUAAAAUUGAACAAAAGAUUGAAAUUCUUAGUACAAAGUUUUGUCUGCGGAAAUUUCGUGCAGUCAUUUUCGCGAUAUUUGGAUUGUCUGUACGACAAAAUAAAUUAUCGCAAUUUGGAUUGUCUGAUUAAUUUACAUAUGUAUAUUAAUCGAUAUUUGUCGCGUAUUCGUACGGGGACGCCGAGGAUGUGAUAUUAUUUUGGGCAUCAUCUGUAUGCAGCGUGCGCAAAAAUCGUGGUAAUUCAUUGGCGAUUAAACAAACGGGCGUUUCAACGUGGCAAUUCCUCAGCUGAAAUGAUCGCUCUGCGGUAAUCAGCAUAACAAAUUUCUGUAUAUAAAUCAGCACUGUAUCGGCUCGCACGAGCGCUGUCGCAAUUCGUUUAUGCCGGAUUAAGCGUGCAGGGCGCGCUUACGUAACGUAUGUAUCACGUACAUUUUUCAUUAGAAUUCAUGAGAGGGAUUUCAACGAGCUAUGUGCUAAUGAGUACGUAUCAGGAGAUACAAUAAAUUAGUAUCAUCAUGUUUAUAUUAUGGGAAAAUAUCCCCCAUGUGAUGUUAAUCACAGAAUGGAGAUUUGCGCCACUCGAUUAUAGAAUCCGGUAAAUCGAAAAUGACUUUCCCAAUCUUUGCGAGUUCGGAAUUGCGCGGUCCGCGAGAGAAAGAGAGAGAGAGAGAGAGUUGCGGAUGCGCUUCGUGCUAAUAUCGCGCGAUGGAAGAUGGGCAUCUUAAGAAGCUGAAGGUUGAGGAAAAACUUCAAGCUUUACGAAAAGCGAAAGAGAAGAGGAAAAUCCCAUCAAACUUGAAAGUGCCAAAAAGUUAACGUCUCCCGCUCGGUUUGGUUCUUGUAUUUUCGCUUCCGUCGUCGCCCCGUCUCGCUCGCAUGGCCCGGCAAACAAGCGAGAAAGUCGCGGCUGAAACUUCACCCUGGCGACGGCGCUCGCAGUCUCGUUUGCUCCUACUCCUCUCCUUCGCUCCUUCUUGAUAUGGCAAAGAGAAGAGGCGGCGGAACGUGCCGCAGGGGAAAUAAUACGGUCGAAAACUCAGCCCCAUAACACUCGCGGGAGCGAAAUAACGCCGAGCCGCUACCGCGGAAAAUUCAAAGUCAACGAUACGUUAUUGUUUUUCAAGAGCCGCCGCCGGUAAGCGUGCAACCGCGAAAGUGGAAGUUGCGGAAAGACGAGAAGGGAGAGGAUCCUUCUGACGUGCAGACGACGGCGACGUUUCGCGUUUAUCCCGGAGUUCAACGACGCCAUACGACGCACUUAAAGCCGGAGGUUAUGACUAGGGGGUUCACCAAUUCUCAAAUACGACCUUUCAUUAUUACGAUUAUCGCGAGGGAUAUCUAAGUUAUUAGAAGGGGGCGCAUAUUCCCGAAUUUCUUAACUCUGUAAAAUAUGGAAGCGAAAACUCGGUGAAUUAUAAUAAUGGUGCGCGCUGCUCCAAGUUCGGAGAAAUAUUUUACUCAAGGUAUUAUAAGUGGAACAAUUUACAGAAGAGUAAUUUAAUUUUCUGAAAGCUUGAAUUGAAUCGCAAGGUGCAAUGGUACUUCGUAUAUAUGUGGAAAAUUCUUACUUGAGUUAUAGUAAACAAAUCAGCGGGGAACGCUUGUUUGCGUUGAUGCUUAUGACAAUCGAGACCAGCUUGUGUCGCGACCCAUGCUUUUUUCAGCAUUCUGGGAGUAAUUCCUGUAUGUCGAGCGAGAGAUUCCCUACUCGUCCCCGUGGGAGACCGCAUCUAAUCAGGAUGAAUAGCCUCACCCAGUAGCCACGCCGGGUAGUAUUCUAACCGACAACUUACGGCGCCCCCAUUCUCCCCUACCUUUCGCCCGGGUUCCGGACCAAGCCCCAACUAUCAUCAUCGGUCUUCGUUAUAAAGAGGAACCACCCGGGGCUAAAUCUCGUUUGCCUAUCUCUCUCUCUUUCGUUCUUUCCUGUCGGCGGAGGCCUCGCAAAAUGCCGCGGAAAUCAGUCCCCUGUUUUCAUGCCGUUUAAGUUCUGGGACAACUCGCCGCGGGGUAUCCGCGGCUUCUCGCCUCGAGUGGCACCUUGUCGAUCAUCUUGGAUAAGCAAUACGUCAACCACUUCGCCACAGCGCCGACGGCGACCGCCUUUCUUCGGAGUCCGGAAAAACACUUUAGAAGGGAAAAAGAAAAGUGGGCCAAUGAACACGCAGACGCGUCCGUCGGAUCGAUUUUCACUUUCGCUCGGUGCUAAAUUAAGAGGGAGUAUUUUCUUCGUAACGAAAAGGUUGAUGAUUCAGCCAGGUGUAUAAUUAGCUGUCGCAAAUUCUCCUUUGAAAACUUUGAUUAUAAGGUAGCACAUUAUUGAUUGAGUACGAUCAACAAUUCGGUUUCGAUUACGAUUAGUUUCGGCUGAAAAUUGAAGUUUCGAUUUAAUUUCGGUUUCAAUCGAAAUUGAAAGGGAGUAUCGAUGAGAUAGCCUGAUCAAGUUGUAACUUGCAACAAUAUUGUGUGCAAUAAACUUAUACAGUACAAAGUAUUUAGCGGUUAGACUCUUGAUUUUCUUCAAAAUGCGGAAUUUCCAAUUAUUAUAAAAACGGCACGUGAUUACUUGAAGUGUAACAAAAGAAUGAAAAGAUCGCUUCAUACUAAUAUAUUCAUGUUUCUUUAUAGUUCAAAUAUAUAUUCAUGACGGAUAGCAAAAGGUAAAGCUGAAAAGAAAUAGGUUAAUAUCAUGAACACAGGGUGAGAAUAUCUUCAUAUUUACACAUAGCGAAAUACUUCGACAUGCAAAGAACUGCUCUUAUAUGACAAUCGCACGACGACAUUCAUGAAUUCUCCGCGCGAAAACCGUUCUGGGAGGGUAAAUAAUCGAUGAAUGGAAGUAGGAGUCGAUGUCGCGUGACACCGAACAUAUGGUGGCACUCUUCCUCAACCAAGUAUUGUCGUUGAUAAUUCGGUGACGAUGUCGCACAAUACGUACACCACUCGAAAAUGCAUAGAGUACAAUCACGUCAUUGUGGAAUUUAACCGCAUUAAUUUUCAAUACGCAUUCCAUGUUGAAUAUUUUACGCAGUGACUCGAUUCGCGAAAAAUAACAAAAACAACCGUAAACGAUCAGCAUUAUUAUUGCGCUGGGAUAUUUAUUUUUUUUAUUUAUCGAUUGGAAAUAACACUCAUUAUAAUUUCAGAAUAUUGCUAUUACACGAGUAUUUUGCGUUGAGCUUUGUUUACAGACAAUUUUGCAUUAAGCGGCUUUUAGUAGAUCUGAAAAGUACUUAAAGUCGAGUGUACCCUUUUCCCUGUUCACCCUGAAGGCGGCAAGAGGAGCUCCUCACCCCGACCUCCAUCCAUCGCUCUGUCAAAGUAUCUGUUUCUCCUUCGAUAACUUUUUUCUUUCUUUCCCGUCUAGUCGGGGCAAAUCCUUAAAUCGACUGUCACUGUCAAAGAAAGGGAGACGGGCCCUCGCCAAUCUUUAUUCGUGAAAAUCGUGCGCAAAAUGAUGUGUUAAAUUAGAAAGGAAAAGAUACGAUCGGAAAUGUACAUUCGAGGUUUUUCCUUCAAAGUCUCUAUAAUGUAAGUAAAAAUCGUUAAUAUUGUCAGUUUAUGCAAAACAUGUAUCAUUUAAUUUUCUACCAAUGUGCAAAAAAUCCUGCUAUUGAAAUAAAGAUUAAUAAAUGUAAUAUGUUUUCAUUAAGAUUAUAUAUGUCGAAUUAUAUUGGAAAUAUUUCAACACAUAAAAUUAAAUAAGAGCUAUUGAGAUUAAAAAGCUCGAUGAAACUAGCGAAUUCGAGAGAACAGUAAUUUUAGAUUCUGUUUUUAUAUUAUUAUAGUUUAUAUGAUCAUGUAAUAAGAAACAUACACACACAUACACACAUACACGCGCGUGUAAUAUGCGCUGGUAUGAUUAAAGAACUCAAAGAUAUUUUCUAGUCGUUCUCGAGGAGCUUGCGAAUCAAAUCGGCAAAUUAAGAAUCUGUCGAGACUCGAUUAACUCCAGGAAUUUAAUCUUGCCUAAACGAGGAACGAUUUCGGAACGGCUACUUUAAUAGUUACCGUGAAAAGAAAGAAGAAACGAAUGGGAUCUGCUCUAUUUAAUACUUCAAUGAACUGAAAAUAAAAGUAUAAAAUAUGCAAUUGACCGAGUUAAUAAGAAGUCCAAAUUAAAAGGAAAAUCAACUAACACAAAGACAGAAAUAAAUACAAAAAUAAAGAAGAGAGAGAAAAGUUGGAGAAAUGUUAAUUAAUAAGAAAUUUAACGUUUCUAAAGAAAUGCACAAAAAAUAUUCAAUGCAUAUGUCUUAUUAAUUAUUACAUAUUAAUUGCAUAUUUUUUGUUGCAUAAAAGAAAACUUCUAUGCGGCAGUAAAUGCAUUUUUAAAUCACCGUCAUUAUAACUUGGAAAACUGCGCUCCCUUCUUGUAACAAGUUGCCCCAGGGUUUGCACAUUACCGUGUCAUUAUUAACACCAUUAUUAUAAACUUAUUAAGAUUGCAACAACCUUCUUGCGUUAGGGGACGUCAGCGCAAGCACGUCGUAAUAAAUUGGCAUUUCAUUCUCCGCGAUGGAUGGCGUUUACGUGGUUACGUAAAUUCGGUUGAGUAGAUUGCAGGAAGGGAACGUUACUUUCGCCUUAAAAUCCUCCACCGAGCGUUUCGUGGUAAAUUUAUUAUUCAUAAAUACACGAUAAUUACGCAGUCCUGGUGGACUGCAUUUAUACGUUUGUACAUCAAAUUUAUAAACAGAUUAAGAGCGAAAUGAUAUUUUUCGCGCACGAGCUACACUGUAAUAUCUUUAGUGAAAUAUUAUUUUUGCAGCGGAUAGCGUUUGUGGAUUUUACAUUUAAUAUAACGGAUCUAGCCACUGUCACGUUUUAACGAGUUUUAUAACGCAAUGUUAGUUAGUGGAUAGAAUACCGCGUACUCUGGUUAAAGACGCUUUUCAUAAAGAAAGAGGUAUAAUUUUUUUCGUUGAGAAACGCGAUUCCACCGUUACUUCUAACAUCUGUUAUGUGAAAGAAACAAAUACAGUUUUUUUAUUAUUUUCUGCGUUUGCUACAAUAAUAAUUACGUUUAAUCGAAUCUCCGAUGUUAAAGUCUUACAAACAAUUCGGCGAAAAUUCUGAACGCAAAGCGACGCAAACUAGUGUCAUCGGUGAAUUUGUUUGAUCGAGAGAGAACAAGAGAGAAAGGAACGAUUUUUAAUAUUAUAUUUCACACACAAGUUUGUUAUUAUUUCAGUAUCGAAGGGGAUCCAAUUACGUGCGCGUGGUCAUGUUUUGCGUGUGCGCUUUGAACUUGUCUUUGCCCCGCUUUGAAAAAUUCAUUAACAUUAUGGCCAGCAUGCUAAUUUCAGCAAAGUGUCCCGCAAGCCAUGAAUAAUUUAAGCAAUGCUAUGACCUAGUACUCGGAGGAUGUAUUUCAUGCGGGCGAUGCAGCGAGCUCAUUCAUCUUGCACCCACCGUUCCCUCGUUAAUACACAAAACUUUUUCAUAACGGCUAGUAUUUACGCAAAUAACAACAGCUCUGGGAAAAUAAUAUUAUAUGUCGGGUACUUUUGCAAUAAAUCGUCAUUAAAGUGUGCAUUUUAAAUUAAUUGAUUAAUAUACUCGCGCAUGCAUUCUUCUUUGUAUAGGGAGACAAGUAUUAAGUUAAUGUUUAUUUAAUGGCGAUCCCUCAUCUACCGCGAUGCAGCCUGUAAUAUUUUGGUUUAAUUUUCGAAAUAAAUCAUUCUCUACAUCAAACGUAUCCGCUUUUCACUUGAGCCAGCCGGCCACGGUAACCCUCGCCGACAGGUGAAUAGGUGUACAACUACGACGAUGAGUCCCUGUCAGACGUGAGUAGCGAGGUUGGUGGACGGGGGAGUCGAGUAGAAGGUAACAGGUAUGGGGCCAGACUUCUGAGGAGGGCUUCGCGGUAUUAUGCUAAUCUCGUUAAACUGAGAGCGGGUCAGACGGUACUAGACCUUACACUAUCGUAUUAAGAUAAUAACAAUGAAAGGGUUGGGUUGCGACGAGGCAUCGGCUGCCGCCGCGUCGUUGUAUUAUUAGCUCAACGGUGGCGUACCAGCGUAAUCUUCUCUCUCAGUACUUACCAGAUAGGUAUACAUGAGUAUUCACCCCCUCCCCCGAUCUGAUAGUAACUCGUUUGGCGAACUUCAAGUCCGUGGAUUUACGAGAAGAUUGCUGCCGCAGCGUUUCCGUCGUGCGAUUUCAUCGAAAGAUUAAUUGCCUAAUGGCCCGAAUGUAGACGCAACAGCCAGUCAAACGUGUCAAUUUUGGCUGUCGCGUCCGCGUUUGCGAACUGCGUUCUACGUUUUGCAGUGUAUGUAGAUAGGUUGUAAGAAUAUGCAAAGAAAAUAAGUUAAUUCUUUCGUCAAAACGUUCACCAAUGUGAAUAUACGAGUGAAAUUUAUGUAUUUUUUUUUAAAAGGGCAAAUAGAGAUAUUUUGCCCCUUUUAAAUCGAUUGAAUUAUUCGUGCACAAUCAGUAAACAAAUCACUCAAACUGGAUAAAUUGCAGUGAAUCCAGCGAAUUUAUGCAAUCGAUAAACUUGGAUAUUAAAUCGCCAUCGUUGCAACACGACAAACUUUACAGCAGCGUGUGAUAUCACGGAGCAUGUUUUCCAACAUGAAAAAUUGUUCAUUGCAAGCUUUGCAUGUUUACUCGCGCGCCAUUAUACGACGUUGCACUACAGUUACUGGCAUUCUGAAAAGGUAUUGAACGGGACGUAAAGAGAGAACAGCAACGAGAUACAUCACGGUCUAUUUAUGCAAGGAGAUACAACAAAGUGGAAUCGUGGAAGCAAAAUGGAAAAACUCUGAAAAUAUCGUCGAGAAGGAAUGGUAGAUCUUUUAAUUUAUUUCUCAAUUAUACCAUUUAAAUAAAUUAAGUUUUGCAAUACGUUCUUAUGUCUUGCGCUAAUUACAAACAUGACGGCACGUGAAAAGAAGCUCCGUAUCGUGCGCGGAAACCAUCGCGCCGACUCUUCACCAGAGUCUUUCGCCUUCGCGAAUUAUGAUUAAUAAUUAUGUUAAAGCCACUGCUUCUCUCUCGACGGUGUCGUACCUUCCGGCAGAUUAUGAUAAUGUAGUCCGUCUUGAACUUCGCGGAAAAUUUUCUAAGGGAAGUGCCCGCCCGCGUAUAAAUAUGGAAGAGCUUGAUUGAAGGGAGGCGAAGGAGCGGAUCUGCUCGUUCAGACCUCAGUUGACUCGAAAGAGAAACGCGAAGCUGUAUAGGAUAUGAAAUGUUGCACGAGCGACAGUAAACAUCUUCGCUUUUAAUCUCAUAAUAAAAAAACAAAAAUUUGCGAGAAAAAAUCAAAUAUAAUACAAACCGCGAUGAGCGCAAUUUAUUUUUAUGCGCGCGAACGCUAAAAUAUAAUUAACCGCACAAAAGUCAUUUUAAUUAAAGUAAUACAACGAAACGUAACAAUCUGUAACAUUAAACAAUAACGGGUAAAUAAAAUUAUAGAAAUUUCCAAAUUAGCAUCGCGGAUCAAAUUUUGUUUCGAGAGAGUGUCCUUAGAGCUUCUCAUCAAUUACUCGAAAGUAAAGUACUAAAAUUCCGUUGAUGCUGGAUUAAACUCCAAGAUUAAGUACGGCGCCUGUAAAGGGAAAAUUAUGAAGGCGAAAUGUCGGAGAAAUUUAUCGCUGCCUGGUACACGAGACCGGCAUAAGUUAAUGAUCUCCCGCGUCGAUGCGAAUGAUAGAUGGCAUUAAAUAAUAAGCCGCGUAGAUGCACGUCAUUAAGAUAGCGUCCCUCUGCGCUUCGAACGAAGACAAUAAAUUCUAUAAAUGAGAUCGCGAGAUUUCGCCUGUGUGAAAUAUCGCCCCGUGAUGACGGCAUAUUAUUAAACGGCUCGCGUGCUUGAACGCGAAGGUCUUCUAUCGGGCUCUUUAGCCAUUGGAUUAAGUAAAAUGUCGGACGGUUCCUGUUCUGAUGCAACAGGUGAGGUGCCACACAAUUUUUUAAUGGACAUCACUGAAGCUUGCAAUGGGGAGUUGCAAGAAUAUACACGUUACGAGACCAUUCGGGGCGCAAAUUUAAGCGUUGUUCUGGCUCGCUAAGAAUUUAAAAAAAGCUUUCCCUGACGACCUUCGUUAUAACGGACAUAAAGUCGGUUAUACCCAGGAAUGAAUCUCUCGAGGGUACAAUGCAUGUAUGUACAAAAUGCGUGAAACACCGAGCAUUUUGAAAUCUCGUAUGAGAGACGUUGGAGCGAGGGAAUCUUGAAAUUUCCUCAACAAGAGAAAAUCAUUUCGGACAAGUAUUAGGAAUAACGUGAUUAAGUAAAAAUUAAGAUGGACGCUUGUCGGAUAAUAAUAUAUCAGCGGUGGAAGCCGUCCAGGUGUAGAAUGCGCGCAAGGUAGCUUAACGUGUCCGAUUGCAGUUGGCCUUAUGCCAGUCUGCUAAGUGGCCCACGUUUUCCAUUGCCGGGUUAUUCGCGCUAGGCUAUCGUCGACGUUCUGUACUCUCUGACCCUACUCGGAUUCGUACGUACCUGCACGUUUCAACGAUGCACUCUGCAGAUAGAACGAUCCCAUAUCCUUCUAAGUGCCGCUCAAAUCAGCACCAGCACUCUUGUCGGCAUCUACUUACGCGCGCAACAUCAUGCUCGGAUUAUUAUAAUUUUAUUCCGCACAGACGAUAAAGUCGUUAAACACGCUGUCGAAAAUAAUCCAUCAUCUCGCCUCAUGUAUUAUCUUAAUCAUACGAGUAUUCAUUUAUUCAAUGUUUUGUGUUAUUAAAUGCAAUAUUAGUUCGACAAUAAAUUUGGAGCUUGUGUUAGAUUAAAUGUACAAUAUAGUAUAUAUUUGUAGAAAAAAUAAAUUUUAUAAUAAAAAACGUGAUUUAAUAAUGCGAACGAGAUUUUUCUUUAUUUCUCUCUCUCCCUCUUAUUAUGCUUUUAUCAAUAUUAGUUAGCUUAAUUAAUAUUUGCAUAACUGUGAUUUUGCAGAAUUAUGAACAUAUUUCGAAAUAGAUGCAUCAAACCAUUUGCACGUAAUGUUUUAGUUAGAGAACUACCCGUAAAUAGAAUUAGGGAUCGUGGCAACGACACGGAAGAGAGAGAGAGAGAGAGAGAGAGAGAAACGAGAGCUAAGCGACAUAGGUACAUGUAUGGACAUAACUAGGUUUGGAAUCCCUAGUUGCUUGUCGGAGUCUCUACCUAUAUUCGCUUGCUAUUUCACAGUAGUUAAAUUUCCUUAGCGGGAUCAGCAGCGCGUAGCUAGAUAAUUAAUAUAACUUGCAAAUAAUUGUUCGAUCAAUGCAAAAUGCAUAGAUGUACGUUGAAUGACAACGGGUCGCACAGGCGAUCAAUGCUUGAAGAAGAACCGUACGAUUAAUGUUGAAAUAAUUGUCUUUGCAUUAAUGCCGCCGAGAGUUUUAAGCUAGUUUACUCAUAUACUCGGCGUAAUCACUUAGUUUAGAUGCAUGCGUGAGUAACGUCUACCAUUGUGAACGAGAUUAAAUUUCCGUCAUCUUAAUUGAUGCUACAAGUAUGCUUAACGUUAUUAUGGCGUUGCUGUUAUCCGCGCAUGAUGCAUCACCGCGCUAAUUAGACACAAAAUUGGUUAAGUCCAAUCCCGCGAACCCGCGCGGUGUAUCCUGUACGAAGUUAAUCCAGCGGUUGGUACAUGUCAGGUGUAAAACGUAAUCCGUAUGCAUGUACGUGCACGCGUGUGGGCAUACACGCGCAUAAUCAAAGUCAUCAGGAGUUUGCGCUUUGGCGGUUUGACUGUGCGAUUACGCUUAGGAUAACAAUAAUAGCUUCGGAAGUCGGUUAGAUUCAGGAGGAACGUAAAUUCUCCGAAAUUCGGUUGAAAGCGCGGAUUAGCCGCCGACCGUUUGGCAAUCUGAUUAUCGCGAAGUGUCCGGGGCGGAAAGUAUCGCGGUGCUGCGAAAACGAAAACUACCGGGCGAAUGAAGCAGCUCGUUUUAGAGCAGCUGCAUCGUUUGUCGAGUCGUAGAUAAGAUCUUCUACUCGCGAGCGUGAAAAGAAAACUUUUAACGAGAUUCAACUUAUCAUAACGUAGCACGUUUCAUACUUUCCGCGUGCUUCUCGCGAAACCAUUCGCUGCUCACUUUCAUUCUUUACGUGCGUGCACUUUAAUUUGGCUUUUCGCUAUUGUCUUCUCUAUUGCAUUUUUAAUUAUGCUCCAUUCAGUCGGACAAGCGUGGCUGUAGGACAUCGUCGUUCUCUUUCGCGCGUGGACAACUGUUACUUGCGUGCCUCUGUGUGACUCUCUUAAUUGUGCAUGCUCGUCUUGGGAAUACGGCUGAACGUGCUCGAUUGAUAAUUUAAUAUCGCGCGAGUAGCUCGGAAAUUAAGCUGCGCUCUCACGGCGGCGUAGAGCUGUCUCGGAGUUCGUGCCUAUCGGGAUUUCCACGUGGCGGGCGGCAGUGCAUCGCAGGGGCGGUGGCUCGUGCAGACUUUACAGUCGAGUGGUUUCACAUGAUUAUGCGGUGGUACGAUUGUAUUCGUGUCGACAGAUAGCUCGAGGAGAACGACGCGCGAAAGAGAUCGACAGAAAAAAACAGACGGAUUCCCUACUUUUCGAUAUUAAAUUUUUUUCAAUGGGACAAGCGAAGACCUAUCGGAAGAUGCUAAAUCGCAUAAACACCAAGUAGGAACAUGGUGCUUAAAUCGCGGCGAUAUAUGGAAUACGUCCAGAUGUAUUCGUAAGAACUGGGAACGGCUAUGGCUUCCAUAACGCGACAACGUUCGCCCGCGGAUCAGACGGGAAAAUCUGCUUAGCGAGCGAAAUGCGCCCGGCGCGGCGGUUCGGCGGCAGGAGAGAGGGAUAUUAUAACGGGUUUACGAAUAUACGAGUAUAUCGAUUUUUCAGAUCCGCACCGCUGAGAGAACGGAGUCUCGCACGCGCGGCGAUGCGAGAUAAUAUUGGUCCUUGUCGAAUAUUUGUCGAGAAGAUACUUCAUUAUAUCUUUAUUAUCUUAAAUUUCACAUUAAACUCAUAAGAGAAAGUGGGCGUUUUUGCUAUUAAAUUUUCUAACAACACUACUUAUAGAGCAAGCGUUACUAGUACGUGUAUCUCUUCCUUCUUCCUCACCUCCUUGUAACAUUAUUUUUUAUGAUGCUGGGAAAAUUUAAAAAACGCAAAUGACAGUUGGAUAGCACGAGGUGGUUAAAUUUCAGCGACAUUGAAAUUUUAUCGAAUACGUUCACAUGACGUAAUCAGCUUUCGCAACCGUCAAACGCAGGUACAUACGCCUUGAAGCUAAAGACGCUUUGCAGCCGUCUACGCCGUUAUGUAUCGACGUUUUGCGGUGCACCGUCGCUUUAACAAAACUGUAAAUACGAUAUUCUACGCGAGUCGUCUUUGAGAGUCGGCAAACUAUUCAUUCGAAUCCGAUAGUUGCGUCCUCAUGGUAUUCCGCUUACAAACACGUCGGCAAACAAAACUGUUGCAGCCCAGCUGCGAAAUGAUGAUAGGACGUGAAUAACAAUAGCGAGGCCUUAUAGAAGGUUCCUUUUAAUUACGGGAAUAGAGGACGGCCGUGGACGAAGGAGAUCCGGCAGAGGAAAGUCCAAUUUAAUUAGAAGAUCUUGUCGAUCGAUUCGAGUCGGUCUACCAAUCCAGCCGUUACUCCACCGCCUUCCUUCCUUCCUUCCUCCUCCUUCUCCAUCUGCUGACAACGACAACGAGCUCGAUCGUUAACGCAAUUCCAACUCCGUAACGUUAUUACUCGUUCGAAUCUAGCGCUAGGUUGAAUCGAAUUUAACCUCGACUGGAAGUCGGGUCGGACGCUAAGGGCGUGACGAGUGGACUUUAAAGUUUCUUCUAUACAACUCGUUAAAUACCGUGAAAUGCUGUGAUUUGUCCGUUUAUCGAUAUAUCCGCGACAGAUACAAGGAUUCACAUUAACACUUAGUAUUCUCAUAUUAUAGUCGAGAAAAACUGACGUUGAGCGUUUUUUCAACACUCAAUAUCAUUUUUUCCACCUCGACCCUCUUCAACGUACGUUGCGUCAAUAUGUAAUAGCUUGUAGCUACAAAAAAUUACUCCCAACUCGAUUUUAACGGCUUCAAUAGUACAGAAAUCCACCUGCCUGGUUUGCUUGGCAAUCUUGUUAUCCGAGUUUGUCCGCGCAGGCUAUUAAUAUUGCGAAACUUCUCAAUUUGCCGACGAACGAGCGAGGAAAAGAAUGAAAUAUAUGUAGAUAAAUGGAUGGGGAAGACUGGUUAGAUGGAUGAGAAUACACGAACAAAAAUCGAUGAAAAAAUAAUGGGGGACGAACGUUAAUUUAAACGCGGUGGAGAGUUAGACAUUAAUAAGUAUCGCCAUUUAAUGAACCAAAUUUAUAUUUGAACAUGAUAGAUUGGACACGAUACGAACACUCUAUAUUGGCGAGUGCGCGAAGUUUUAUAUAUUCGUACAGCAUUGAAUACAUUUGUGUGGAAAAUCAUUGCGAAUCGAAUAAACUUAUCUGACUGUGCUGAUAUUUUAAACAAUGCGUCGAAAAUUUAUGUCAUGACAUCAUUCUUCGUCUCUCGAUUUGUGACAAAUUCUCACAAAAUCAUAUAUAUUUUCAGAUCUCAUGGUUUUCUACACAUAUACGAAAUGUUAUAUGAUUUGUAUAGGAGUAGUGUAUAAUUGAGUAAUAUUAAUUUCUAUCGGUUGAAAAUAAUUAACGCUGUUUUAAAAAACAGACUGUUUUUAUAAAAAAAAUGAAAUUUAAUUAGAUCUGUUAAAUUGGCUUAGUUUAGCUAGGGAGAAUUAUUUCUUCGGUAAAACGUGAAAAAUAACAAUAGUGCUCCCCAGACUGUAAGAACGACAAGAAUGAUCUAUUAGAUUGCGUCAGCAUCAAGAUUCAUGAGUGCCUUCAUCAUUCCGCUCAAUGAUGCGUCAAACGCAAUCAGAAUCGAGAUUACCUCGACGAAGCCAGGAGCCUCGCAUUUCCCAUAACUAUAUCCUACCGAUAAUCUAACCAAUUAUUGUAGUUCCCGGAAUGCAAAUGCAAACGACGUAGGGUAGAUGACGUUUGAAGCAUUAUUUCUGCUUUGUCGACGACACCUCGCGUGCCAUUCUUGUUCGCUACUUAACACAGAAUUACGUUACUCACUCGCAAUACCGUAUAAACACGGAAAAGAGCUUCUGCCUCUUGUUUCUUGGUAAAACAACUUUCGUAUUCCUUUGUAAGGGAUCUUUCGUAAUAAACAUUUUCCCGCCCGACGAGAAUAUUUGACCUAGCCUGUAAUUAUCCAGAGGAUUCUGCAAAAAUCGAUCACGGACGCAGAAGAAAAAAAAAACGUAGGAAGGAUCAUUGCAAUUGUUCUUCGUUUUCCACUGGCCGAUACGUAUCGCAAAUUAGGUUUGUCCAUGUGGUUGCCUGAGCGUUUUGUCGGAACGUUUUCAAUCUCGUAAAAGCGACGUAACUGAGUUAGCCAAACUGAUUUCUCUUACUCCGGCCUAAUUGGCCAAGCCUCCGGUUAGAUGUCCGUUUCCCUCGUAUACACAUACACACACACACAUACACACACAUUUAUGUAUCGCCACACACGAUUCUCUCGUACUAGUUAGUUUCUAACUUGUCGGUACAUCCAUCUCUAAUUAAAUCUUUACUCGGAACAUCUGAUUCUCCGCGGACAAGCAAAUAUUCUUUUUUUUUUGGUUUUAAUUUAAGAAGAUUUUAAGUAUCCGAGCGCAUUAUAAUUUUUAAUCUACUUCUGUUUUUGUUUUAGAAUAUAAAUCUAUUCUAAAUAAUCUGUAUAACAAAUGUUAUCAAGCAACGAUUAAUGUAUCAUCUUUAUUGAUAUGUACUAAGAGAGUUAAUGCAAACUCUCGUAUCUAUUGCGAUAUAAAAUGUCUUUAAAUCGGCAUCGCUUACACUCUUUAUUAUGACAUGUGUAGCUCGCUCGUGUACCUAUGCCAUUCGGCUAUACUGACUGUGAAAAUCGUAUAAUCAUCGUGUUAAUUAUUCCGUGCAGUCAUUAAUCUAUGUCAUGAAACAUAUAAUGUAAGAUUAUUUCCUAUUUUAAAAUAAAUUAACAUUCGCGAAAAGUGUUUUCUCUAGCAAUGUGUGAAACAUUUAUGUAAUAAUAUUCGAAUAAAUACAUCGACUAUUCGAAGUUAAUCAAUGUUAAAGUUUGAGAAACAUCGUAUCUCUUAAAGAGACUUAAUUCUCUUUCACUCAACUCACUUAAUUAAUUUUCAAUAUUAUUAAAAACCUGAGAAGUACUUAUCGGAAGCUCUCUAUUAAAAGUUUUUUUUCUAAAUAAAGAAAUGCGACAGUAUUUAUUACUGCAGGUAAUAAGAUUAAUAGUUAAAAUACAAUUUGAUUCAAAUAGCUCUCUUAUUUAAAAUAAUUAACUAAUAAUAGAGAAAUAGAAAUUACGAAAAAAAUCUAAUGCAGUUCUCUUUGCGUACAUUUAUUUCGUGUGUAUUUAAUUUUACUACAUACAAAAUUGAGUCUCAACUGUAUGAUUAUCAAUGUUCUGGCUCUAGUUUUGCAUCCUUUUCAAAGUGUGGUUACGAGUAAGGUACUCCACGUUUCCAGAAACCAAUAUAAGACUUCAUCCUUCUCAAAUUAUAAAGUCCUGUCUUGAGGAAGAUUCACACUGGCUUUCCGGAUACGUACCUACGUGAAAGUGAACCAGAGCCAAAAUGUUGGUAUUCAUUAUGCAAUUAUGCAAUUAUUCAAUUUUAUGUAGAAUAAAGUUAAAUACAUGUUGAAAUAAAUUCCCGCAAAUAGAACUGCGUUAAACUUUUAUAGACCCAUUUCUAACCUCGUAGAUUAAUUGUAAUCUUGGUUUAACUUACUUUUUAUCCUUUGAAUUUUUAAAAUUAGAAUAAGAUAACGAGUAAGUUAAACUAAGUUAACUUACGUUGGUGGAAAUGGAUUUUUUUUUUCUCCAUUGUACUUUAAUUAUUUUAAAUCAAUCAUUUUUUUGCGAGUCUAUGCAAUUACACCUAAUAAAAUUCAGAAUUGUUAAUUCGUUGAGAUAAAUCUCGAUUCCGCGUAGACGUAGGAAAUCGAACGUCUAUACGAACAAAGUUAGUUAUUAUACGUCGCUUCACCCGCCCAAUCCAACUAUGCCAACAAACUUGUGUCUUAACUAAACACGAUGGCCAAAAUGUGACGUGUAUGUGUUCGAAACACAUACAUGUCAUAUACGUGACAACGCAUGAGUUAUAACAAUGAUCAGCUCGUUAUCAACAUGUCGGACCGAGAACCACAAUAGGGCCCCAACCGGCAGUGGCGCUUUGUAUUGUCGCGUGCUUGUUGUAUGCCGCGUAUAUGAGCAUGAUAAUCGCAAUACAACCGGAUGUACGCAACAGCGACAGGUGCGCGCGUUGCUCGCGAGCCGCCAAGCAUUGUACAUUUACAUUGAACUAUGAUCGAUAAUAGGUCAUGACAUGACGGGAGCGGAUUUUUGACGGCGCAUAUACGGGCGAUCGGCUCGUUAAUUCUCUAUAAUAUGAAUUUGCCAUAGCUCAGUAAUAUAUAUUUUUUUGCACCUCCCCCAUUCCCAUUGUUGUUAUGCUGAUGUGUGUAAUAUCGAUGUAUGACGGGCGACGACGCUCUUUAUUCACCAUAAAACUCUUAUCGCUGUCGCUCUCUCCUACGCAUUUUAAUCCGACGCGAGAGACUCGACGCGACGCGUUUUAACGCAACGAUCGCAUCGCGACGUGACAUUUAAAUGCUGACAUUUAAAUGCCGCUUAAAUAUUAAAGUUCUCGCCGCGGUGCGCAUCACAUAUUUAAGAAAGGACAGCCGGAAAAUUUCACAACGAUCCGAAACCCCGGCAAUGGUUCACAUCUUCGCAUACGGAUACGCGAGUAGAGAGUUACUACGAAAUCGUAUACUCCAUAUGAAGCGUAAUUUGAAGUUACUCUCCUCCGGAUGCCAUAAAAUCACCGCAAGGAUCACUAUCGGAGCCCAGUGGGAAUCAAGCGAGAGCCGAUCCAUCCGGCCGGCCGAUCCAUUCGCGUAAUCUUCACAGGAACGGAGGAAAUUUCCGUCGUUGUCAAUCCAGGACGUGAAACGUCCCUAUCCCCUGUCGUGAACGGCAGUGACGUUUUCCGUUCUUGCCUCGUCACUCAAUAUUUUUUUUCUCCAUUAUUUCUCGCGCGCACCCAACUCUUUCCUUCAACGGUAUAAUCGUUACCCACGUUGCCGUCUGUCACGAAUAAAAGUAUCUCGCGAUUUCUCAUCAUCGCGAAAAGAUAUACUAUGGUAUGUGUCGCGCGACUAACGCUGAGUGGAUUCGACUUUUAAUUAAACGCCAUUCAAUUAUACGCGCUCCGCCACGUCUCUACAUCCGGUUGCCAGUUUACGCGAGUAUACAGAGAGUUCUUCAUCGUUUCACUGCGAAAUAAUGCAGCCUCCAUUUUCUCUCUGUGUACUCCUGCUUUACAAGGGCGCGAGAAUAUAUAGUGUUGUAAAAGUGAGAUCGCGCUUAAUGCGAUAAAGUUAAGAAGGAAAUAGAAUCCGAUAAUCUGUCGUUCGAAUGAUAUUUGCUCUCCGACGCGAAAUUAUUGAUAAAUGUCGCAUUCAAAAUUUUAAGGUGAACUCAAAAGAAAGUUCGUACCUGCGCAGAUGAAACGCACUACACAUCUAGUUUAUGUUCAUAUCACCGACUAAUCGAAGCGAGAUAAGAUCGGACGAUUCUAAUUAGAUAGCCGUUUCUCAUAAAAUUCCAUUUUUCGAACAAAAAGCACUCGAAUGGAGAAAGAAUUGUGCGCUCGACCUCGUUCUUCUUCUCGGGCGCCUUCCUACAUCUUUCUUCCUCAUCUCCAGCCUUGCGCGUCCAGCUACUUCUUCCGUGCAUAUCUCUUCUCCUCUUUCUUUCUCCCGGCCGACAUUAUUCCCUCUAGCUCUGGUCUUCGGUGUCGGUAUUUAUAGCGUGGAGAAACCACAGAGUCCCGGGGAAAGCUGCUCAGCAGGGUGGAAACUAGCGACCGAACCCAUGAACCGUUUCUUCCAACGACGUCCAGAGAGGCAGCAGCAUCCCCCGGUUCUCCUCCACACGCACUGCGGAGAAGAAGCACGUGGAACCCGGUAUUCCAGCUAAAAGCCUUAAUCGCUGUUUUUACCGCUUUUCUUUUUGGAAGAACGGAAUUACUGCUCCCGCGCUUCGUUGCGCCGGCUUCGCGGCGCGCUUGCGGUUUUACCGCGGCAACUUCUUACUUCAUCGUGCUCUUUAACUGCCCUGCUUCUUCACCAUGGAUAGAUCCGGCAUCAUGCUUCACGUUGUUCGCGCUCUAUUCUUUGUGAAGAUUUCUCGCGGCAGUUUCUCGGCGCCUCGACCAAAGCGCUGAAAGUUUUAGCCUCAGCGGCAAUCAAUCUAUUCCUAACCUUGUAGAUAAGGAAUGCGUUAGACAUUGUUUAAACAGUAGUAAUGCUAGUAGAGUAUUUUAUUUUCGCAUAGAUAUAUCUUAAAUUAUAUUGUGUUCGAUGUAUAUACUCGAUAUAUAAACGAUAUUCCCUUGCGCGCUUCGAAACUCAAAAGUGGUUUACCUGAGUCUUAGGAAUUACUUUACCUCCAGGCAAGAGUUGUGAAAUUCUUGUUCUUUUUUAUAUUUACGCGAAAUAGAAUUUUAUCGAUACUUCGAUGUGGCCUCCGGUUGCUCGUUCGCGGAAAAAUCGUUUUCUCUACCGUCAGCACCCUGCGACCAUUUCCUUUCCAUUAUUUCCACCAGCAUUCCGGCAGUUAAUAUUGGAAUCCUUCCAAGUAUUUCACAAUUCAAAUGGCAUCUUUGCUCCGCACCGGCCAGUUUCUAUGGCUGAUAUAAGCGAUGUUUUGCAUACCUCUAAUUGCAAUUUCAUUAUUCGGAAACGACAGAAUGUCUUAAUGAAUUGGACCAUUAUGUCAUAACAUUACAGUCGGUAUAGAGAUGCAGAAAAAUUAAAAAAACAAACAAUAACGUAACCGUGAACCCUUUUAUCAAUGCGCCAUUAAUAUUCAAGAAUUCUUUUGAAUAUUAAAUUCUCAUUCUUAUCUCGGUGAAAGUGAGUUUGAUCCUGUAAAAAAAAUACAAAAUCAUUUCGUAUAUGUGUCGAUAUUUUGAAAUAUUUUGCUAUAAAAGUUUAACAUAAUUGAUACUUUACACACACUCUUUAAUAACACAAAAGUUAGCUAAAAUAUAUAUUGUGCCUUGACAUUCAUUCUAAAAACUAAUAUGCUUUUAUAUGACUGUAUAACAGAUGCAGACGUGUACACGGUCAUAUUGCAUGUGCCAGCACCGUUAUUGCAUAGUCCAACGGACCCUCAUAGGGCUUGCCGGCCACUCGAGACGACCGUAUCCAUAUUGACUUAAGUACCUGCAAGAAUUAACAAGCCGACCGCUUUUUGUCUGGCUCAACUUUUGCGAUAUCACGAAGAGAAUGUUGUUAAAAGAAGUUUUUGACAAAAUGUGGCAAAUGCUUGACAAAACCGACAUUAAUAACUGUCGUAAAGUCUCUUCGACGUAUGCUUACUUGUUUAAUGCAAUUGCGCUGUGCAUAAACUGUUUUCCCGAGAAUUUUCAGGCUUGAUGCGCGAAAGUGCGACUCGAGCGUUUGACGCGUACAAGUAGGGACAUAGGUGAUAGAAGUAGAUGGCCUGUCAGUUUACCGAUGUUCCCUCUGGGAUGCGUCAAACGUACGAAACGAUGGUAAACCUGCUUUUCUCCAGCCUCCGCGCUCCCUCAGGGCCAGUGAUAAAACCAGGGCCAGUCAGCAUUCGACAAUGAAGGCGUCUUUACCUUCCCUUUUUUUCGACAAAAGCUCCCCGAUCGUUGAGUGUCUGACUAGGCGACAACUCGUAAAUUCCAGUCAAUCGUUGUCGAUUCGCGAAAGAAGGGAAAUUGGAGACGAAAAAAGCUGUGUGUCGUUUGUGAAAAUUAUCGAUAUGAUAUAAGUGUAUAGGUGACAAAUUUUACAGUUUUGUUUUUAUGUAAAAAAAAAAAAACUUGAUUUUCAUUCCUUUUUAAACAUAACAACUUCAAAGGACAAACGCUCAAAUCACAGUAGUUUUUAAAUUAUAUUAAAUUUAUAGUUAACAAAUAAUAAUAUAG
This is a long non-coding RNA of Monomorium pharaonis (pharaoh ant), 36373 nucleotides long. RefSeq lists it as uncharacterized. The transcript has 2 exons. NCBI's taxonomy places the organism in Eukaryota, Metazoa, Arthropoda, Insecta, Hymenoptera, Formicidae. The record is from RefSeq and is a predicted model, not a curated record.